Molecule: transfer RNA, 73 nt
Filed under: Bos taurus (domestic cattle)
Lineage: Eukaryota; Metazoa; Chordata; Mammalia; Artiodactyla; Bovidae
Also listed under: 3 other names
Rfam family: tRNA
About the family: Transfer RNA (tRNA) molecules are approximately 80 nucleotides in length. Their secondary structure includes four short double-helical elements and three loops (D, anti-codon, and T loops).
Source: Rfam by way of RNAcentral
UCCUUGGUGGUCAAGUGGCUAAGACUCUGAACUCCCAACACAGGGGGCCCAGGUUCGAUCCCUGGUCAGGGGA